UAUUUUUGUAGAGGCGGUCCCUGUCCUCCAGGAGCUUACAAUCUAGCUGGGAGGGGGGCACAGCUAACACACACUUAAACAAUUAGC
Molecule: microRNA precursor, 87 nt
Filed under: Cavia porcellus (domestic guinea pig)
Lineage: Eukaryota; Metazoa; Chordata; Mammalia; Rodentia; Caviidae
Description: miRNA (ENSCPOG00000033552.1)
Source: RNAcentral